RNAcentral lists this ribosomal RNA (483 nucleotides) under Triticum aestivum (bread wheat). RNAcentral's name for it is "partial small subunit ribosomal RNA". The record is from RNAcentral. Lineage: Eukaryota; Viridiplantae; Streptophyta; Magnoliopsida; Poales; Poaceae.
AUGGCGAUCUCGUCCUCAUUGGAGUCAUGCGCCAUUGCUAAAUACGUGCUUCGCAAAUACAAGUCGGAGCAAGUGGACUUGUUGAGGGAGAGCAAUCUGAAGGAAGCUGCCAUGGUAGACAUAUGGACGGAGGUCGAAGGACACCAAUACCACCCGGUCCUCUCACCGAUCGUGCUGGAGUGCUUUAUAUACCCGACCUUACGCGGUCUUCCCACGAAUCAAAGGAAUGUGGAUGAAAUCUUGGAGAAGGCGAAGAAGGUUCUAGAAAUCUACGAAGCCUGCCUGUCCAAACACAAGUAUUUAGCGGGUGAUUUUGUCAGCUUUGCAGAUCUAAACCAUUUCGCGUGUACUUUCUACCUCAUGGAUGCGACGCCAUAUGUGUCUCUGUUCGACUUGUACCCACACGUGAAAGCUUGGUGGGAGGAUAUGAUGUCCAGGCCGUCCAUGAAGAAGCUCGGUGCAGGUAUGACCACGAGGGUUUAG